AUAUGGCUCAGGAUGAACGCUAGCGACAGGCUUAACACAUGCAAGUCGAGGGGCAGCAUAAAAGUAGCAAUACUUGGUGGCGACCGGCGCACGGGUGAGUAACGCGUAUGCAACCUACCUAUCAGAGGGGAAUAACCCGGCGAAAGUCGGACUAAUACCGCAUAAAACAGGGACACCGCAUGGUGAUAUUUGUUAAAGAAAUUCGCUGAUAGAUGGGCAUGCGUUCCAUUAGGUAGUUGGUGAGGUAACGGCUCACCAAGCCGACGAUGGAUAGGGGAACUGAGAGGUUGGUCCCCCACACUGGUACUGAGACACGGACCAGACUCCUACGGGAGGCAGCAGUGAGGAAUAUUGGUCAAUGGGCGAGAGCCUGAACCAGCCAAGUCGCGUGAAGGAAGAAGGAUCUAUGGUUCGUAAACUUCUUUUGCAGGGGAAUAAAGUGCAGGACGUGUCCUGUUUUGUAUGUACCCUGAGAAUAAGGAUCGGCUAACUCCGUGCCAGCCGCCGC
Molecule: ribosomal RNA, 508 nt
Filed under: uncultured bacterium
Lineage: Bacteria
Description: bacterial SSU rRNA
Rfam family: Bacterial small subunit ribosomal RNA
Source: RNAcentral